GCGGGGGUUGCCAAGCCCGGUCAACGGCGCAGGUCAGAAAUUGUGCGAGGCUUAGAAUGAGCUUGGAAGUUUCCUACAACCCUGUUCCUUAGGGAUUCGUGGGUUCGAAUCCCACCUCCCGCA
RNAcentral lists this transfer RNA (123 nucleotides) under Candidatus Nitrosocosmicus oleophilus. RNAcentral's name for it is "Candidatus Nitrocosmicus oleophilus tRNA". It matches the Rfam family "tRNA". Rfam says of the family: Transfer RNA (tRNA) molecules are approximately 80 nucleotides in length. Their secondary structure includes four short double-helical elements and three loops (D, anti-codon, and T loops). The record is from Rfam by way of RNAcentral. Lineage: Archaea; Thermoproteati; Nitrososphaerota; Nitrososphaeria; Nitrososphaerales; Nitrososphaeraceae. RNAcentral also lists the same sequence under 1 other name.